Vigna angularis (adzuki bean) is the source of this 1769-nucleotide RNA transcript. It is a transcript of the gene named VQ motif-containing protein 9, with no coding region annotated. The transcript is spliced from 4 exons. The record is from RefSeq and is a predicted model, not a curated record. Lineage: Eukaryota; Viridiplantae; Streptophyta; Magnoliopsida; Fabales; Fabaceae.
AAAGAAACAUAAAAAAGAGACAGAGUUUUUUUUAUUUAUUUAUUUUUCUUCUUGAAAGUGCUUUAGUUACUGAUUGGGAGAGGAAAAAAAAUAAAUAGAGAGUAUUUAUUUUGGCGGAGGUUGGGAGAAAUGUGACCAGUCACCACAUGUUUGAAACCCUAAAGAAAAAAAAAAAAAGAAAAAAAAGAGAGUAGCGGUGUAUAGUAUAUAGUGUGGUGUGUCCCUACUUGGCUUCUGCGAUAAGAGGAAGUGUUGCAGCACCACACAAAGAAACCCACCAACACAGUUCUGCUCAAAACACAAAAACAAAACACAGUGAGAGAGAGAGAGAGAGUGAGAGAGUGUGAGAGAGAGUGUUUUUGUAAUGGAUAAAAGCUGUCAUCCCUCUGCAGAGUCUACUAAUACUAGUAUAACCACAACCUCUGCUACCAACACCGCCACCAACACCAACACCAGGGAUCAAUAUCUCAGGCACCUCAACAAGCUUUCCCAAAAGAUCUCCAAACCCAUCAUUAAAAAACCCACCUUUGAUCAUCCUCACCCUCAGCCACCGUCACAGCCCCAGCCUCAGCCUCAGGCCCAACCUCAAAACCCAAACCCGCAGGCCCAGCAGAACUUGCAGCAUCAGCCACCUGUGUACAACAUCAACAAGAACGAAUUCAGGGAUGUGGUUCAGAGACUCACCGGCUCGCCUGCGCACGACCGCAUCUCAACGCCUCCUCCCAUUCAACAGCCCAAGCCUCCCAGCUCGCGCCUCCAGCGGAUUCGCCCUCCUCCCUUGCCGCAGAUUACCAACCGCCCGCCUCCGCUCCUCAAUCCCAACACCCUCCCCCGCCCUCAACUCCCCAACGUCAACUCUAACUCCGUCUCCUUCAACAACUUUUCCGUCUUCGCUAGACCCCCCGCGCCGUUAUCUCCUCUCCCGCCCUUCCCCACAGUCCACGCGCCCGCUGAGUCCCCCAUCUCCGCCUACAUGCGCGAUCUGCAGAAUCUCGUCGGUUCAAACCCCAAACACUUCUCUGGCUUCUCCCCCUUGCCGCCCCAGCUUCACCCUCAGCAAGAACAACAGCAACAGCAGCAAUCGCAGCACCAAGCCAUGGUUCCUUCGCAAGCUUCGUUUCCGAUGCCGUCUUCUCCUGUGCCGUUUGGGUGCUUGAAUUCCCAGCUGGCGUCUUACCCUCUGCUUUCGCCGGGGCUUCUGUUUUCUCCAACUUCGGGACAGUUGGCGUUUCCGCCGCUUCCGCUUUCACCCACCGUGCCGGUUCCGAGCCCUCGAUGGAGAGGGCUUUGAGAGGGUGAGCUGUGACAGAAGUGCAUGGCUUUCCUGACACUGAGUAGAUACAUGAUUGUGGCAAAGUUCACUAAAUAUCUGAUUCCCAAAGUUGAACUAUACUGCUUUUGGCACGACGAGUCUCAGAUUCCUUAGAGUGUUUCUUGCAUUCAUGGUGGAUUAAUGACUGAAUUUUCGCCACACAAUAACUAGAGAAAAUAAUGCCAUGCAAUCAGUGUGGACUCAAUAAGUCAAUUUUAAUUUUCUUUCUCCAGUCCGGCAAGUACCUGAAGAGAUUGAUUCUUUUACUGAUAAAAACACAUGGUGGGUCUUCUGUGCUGGAGAUGAACGAAUCCUUUUGUAAGGAAUGAGUUUUUGCAAAUAUUACUAUCACAACAAUAAAGCGUAGUAGUAUCUUUUUCUUUUAAUAAAUUGAUUUAGACUUUGUAACAUAAAGUUGAUGAACUUGUAAUAUAAAAGAGGAUAAUUCUUUCUGGUA